This 414-nucleotide ribosomal RNA is filed under the name uncultured bacterium. Its description in RNAcentral is "bacterial SSU rRNA". It matches the Rfam family "Bacterial small subunit ribosomal RNA", at positions 9 to 407 of the family's 1533-position model. The record is from RNAcentral.
GAGUUUGAUCGUGGCUCAGGAUGAACGCUGGCGGCGUGCUUAACACAUGCAAGUCGAACGGGAAUUACUUUAUUGAAACUUCGGUCGAUUUAAUUUAAUUCUAGUGGCGGACGGGUGAGUAACGCGUGGGUAACCUGCCUUAUACAGGGGGAUAACAGUCAGAAAUGACUGCUAAUACCGCAUAAGCGCACGGAACCGCAUGGUUCUGUGUGAAAAACUCCGGUGGUAUAAGAUGGACCCGCGUUGGAUUAGCUUGUUGGUGAGGUAACGGCUCACCAAGGCGACGAUCCAUAGCCGGCCUGAGAGGUGAACGGCCACAUUGGGACUGAGACACGGCCCAAACUCCUACGGGAGGCAGCAGUAGGGAAUUUUCGUCAAUGGGGGGAACCCUGAACGAGCAAUGCCGCGUGUGUG